Molecule: long non-coding RNA, 1791 nt
Filed under: Salvator merianae (Argentine black and white tegu)
Lineage: Eukaryota; Metazoa; Chordata; Lepidosauria; Squamata; Teiidae
Description: lncRNA (ENSSMRG00000006172.1)
Source: RNAcentral
GAAAUGCCACGUCCGCCGCGGUCGGAUCUCCCCUCGCGCGCGCCGGCGGCCUGGGCUGCAGAGGGGGCUGGCCAAGGCGCACCUUCCAGCCCCUCCUUUCUCCAGGCAGGAAACCACAGGCCUCUUUGCGAAGGACAAUGUAUUCCACACACUUUCCCAGUGCUUGUCGCUUAAUUGGAGUGAAGCCUUGAGGUCCCCUGGCAUGGAGCGGAAGGCCGGUGGUGGCAGCCAGCCAAGGGCUGCCAUAUUGUAAAGAAGCCUGAAGUCUCCUGCUUUUAAGGAGUGGCUACAAAUGUGAAUUCCAUCAGACCCAGACUGCUGUGAGAUCAGCGGCUUUCCGCUUCUCUGGUGACUUACACCACCCCAGAGGCACGAACACAACGUCCCCACGCAGUGCAGCUCCACAGCCAAGGACCUUUGGAGCAACGAAGAGAAAGUGCCCAUCAGGCAAGGUGCACAGAGCAGGCAAGUCCCACCAUGGAGCAUCUGCCGCCUGCCUGGUGAAAUCUGAGGCACGUUCCAGAAGCCUCACCUAUUCCUUUGCACACGCAAAAGAGCCUGUGACCACUCUCUACAAUAAGCCAUGGAUGAAAGGCUGCUUCUCGUCCAUUCUCUUGGUGUGUGGAAGCCUCCAGAAGAAGCUAAUUGGACUGAAUUUUCAUUCAGUCCAGAUCACCCACACUUCAGAUCACCCACAGUCAACAUCUAGCUCAUUAGGCAGAUCCUCACCAACAGAUCCCAACAAGGAACCCUGUUGGCAGUCUGUGCAGACUGGAGCACGAUAUCGUUAGACACUGGAUGAUGCUGUUGCUCCUUUGCAACCAAUCUGGUGCCAACCUUGGUUUGGUUUGAUUUAAACUGUUUUUUCAAACAACAGGGUGGUUCGGUUCACAUUUGAACCAAGCGAGUGAUAGUAACACACACGCGAAUCACCCUUGGUUCGCUAUGGUUCGCUUGGUUCAUUAGCUCACCCCCUGUUUCUGGUUAGCCUCGAACCGGGCUUUUCAAACAGCAGGGGGGUGUCAUUCGCAUUCAAAGCACUCGAACAAUUUGCUACAGGCUGUCAACUAACUGAACUAGUUCAGACUUUGGUGCCAGUGGAUAUUUCCCUGUUAGACAAAAGUGUGUUGCACUGUUGCACUACUGUGCUGAUUGCUUCCAUGUGGAAGUUAUCCAAAGCUUGCCUGCUGCCUAAAUUUGGGGGGCUGUCCAAUAUUGACCAAACUAUUGACCGAACAGUUGCAUGUCCCCAGAAUACUUGGAGAAAGUUCUUUCCUAGUAUUAACCAAAGGAGAAUUUGGAGGGUCCUCCCACUUUUGCAUAAUUUGUUUCUUCUGUAGUUUCACAGGAGAGAGAGAUCUAAUUUUCUUCUUUUCUUUUUUAAACACCUCACAUUUGUCUCUGGGGAAAAUACAGUGGUGACAGUAAAUGACACGCUUCUCUAAAAUAACAGCCCAACAUCGUUGGCACCACUGUGGCUACAGACUGGAUAGACCAGUAUAGCUAAGAAUAUUCUGCCUUGCUCCUUUGAUUACAGCUUUCUUUUCCUGGGGUGGCAUUGUGGUUUGGUCAUUAUCAAGCCUUUUAUCUACCGUGCUGUUAGAUCUCUCUAUUGAGCAUCUCCUGAAGAGGCAAAGGACUCCUUAUGCUCAAGAUAAAUGGACGCAGUUUGGCCUGGAUGAUUAGGCUGCAUUGUGAUUUGCAAGGUGGGGGCACUGGGCAGGCCUGUGUCUCUGGAGGGGCUAAAUUACUACUUACACAAGCUGAAAAUAGCCGGCUUUGCUGCACUAC